CAAUUAUAAGGACGCAACUGCAAAUGGAACUCUCCAAGUUGUCAAAUAGUAGAUCUGAUUUAAACAUACCUUUGGAUUCCAUCAACACCGCCAUUGAUACUAUGGGUAUGGUUGACCACGUACUACUAAAUGUGAAUACUUUAAAAAGACAGAAAGUAGCACAAAGAAUCGGUCAAAUAAGGAAAUCGUUC
This is a long non-coding RNA of Danaus plexippus (monarch butterfly), 191 nucleotides long. RefSeq lists it as uncharacterized. The record is from RefSeq and is a predicted model, not a curated record. The transcript is spliced from 3 exons. Lineage: Eukaryota; Metazoa; Arthropoda; Insecta; Lepidoptera; Nymphalidae.